Molecule: ribosomal RNA, 763 nt
Filed under: uncultured organism
Description: bacterial SSU rRNA
Rfam family: Bacterial small subunit ribosomal RNA
Source: RNAcentral
GUCGAGGGGUAGGAUACUUCGGGUAUCUGAGACCGGCGAACGGGUGAGUAACACGUAGGUGAUCUGCCACGAGGUUGGGGAUAGCCCAUGGAAACAUGGGGUAAUACCGAAUGAGCUCUUGUGACUGUGGUUAUGAGAGGAAAGAGGCUUUGGCCUCGCCUUGUGAUGAGCCUGCGGCUGAUUAGUUAGUUGGUGGGGUAACGGCCUACCAAGGCGACGAUCAGUAGCCGGCCUGAGAGGGUGACCGGCCACACUGGGACUGAGAUACGGCCCAGACUCCUACGGGAGGCAGCAGCUAAGAAUCUUCCGCAAUGGACGAAAGUCUGACGGAGCGACGCCGCGUGGGUGAAGAAGGCCGUGAGGUGGUAAAGCCCUUUUCUGCUUGAGGAAUAAGCCCCUGAGGGAAUGCGGGGGUGAUGACGGUAGGGCAGGAAUAAGCCCCGGCUAAUUACGUGCCAGCAGCCGCGGUAACACGUAUGGGGCGAGCGUUGUUCGGAAUUAUUGGGCGUAAAGGGCGUGUAGGCGGAUAUACAAGUCUGGUGUGAAAGACCGCAGCUCAACUGCGGGCACGCGCUGGAAACUGUAUGUCUUGAAUCCUUGAGGGGGAACUGGAAUUCCUGGUGUAGGGGUGAAAUCUGUAGAUAUCAGGAAGAACAUCGGUGGCGAAGGCGAGUUCCUGGCAAGUGAUUUGACGCUGAGGCGCGAAAGCGUGGGGAGCAAACAGGAUUAGAUACCCUGGUAGUCCACGCUUGUAACGAUGUGC